Drosophila melanogaster (fruit fly) is the source of this 23-nucleotide non-coding RNA. The record is from Ensembl. Lineage: Eukaryota; Metazoa; Arthropoda; Insecta; Diptera; Drosophilidae.
UAAUCUCAAUUUGUAAAUGUGAG